UACGAAGGGGGCUAGCGUUGCUCGGAAUUACUGGGCGUAAAGGGCGCGUAGGCGGCACUGUUAGUCAGGCGUGAAAGUCCUGGGCUCAACCUGGGAACUGCGCUUGAUACGGCAGAGCUAGAGGAUGGAAGAGGGUCGCGGAAUUCCCAGUGUAGAGGUGAAAUUCGUAGAUAUUGGGAAGAACACCGGUGGCGAAGGCGGCGACCUGGUCCAUUACUGACGCUGAGGCGCGACAGCGUGGGGAGCGAACAGG
RNAcentral lists this ribosomal RNA (253 nucleotides) under uncultured bacterium. Its description in RNAcentral is "partial 16S ribosomal RNA". It matches the Rfam family "Bacterial small subunit ribosomal RNA", at positions 524 to 776 of the family's 1533-position model. The record is from RNAcentral.